GACGAACGCUGGCGGCGUGCCUAAUACAUGCAAGUAGAACGCUGAAGGGGGAGCUUGCUUCUCCGGAUGAGUUGCGAACGGGUGAGUAACGCGUAGGUAACCUGCCUGGUAGCGGGGGAUAACUAUUGGAAACGAUAGCUAAUACCGCAUAAGAGUAGAUGUUGCAUGACAUUUGCUUAAAAGGUGCAAUUGCAUCACUACCAGAUGGACCUGCGUUGUAUUAGCUAGUUGGUGGGGUAACGGCUCACCAAGGCGACGAUACAUAGCCGACCUGAGAGGGUGAUCGGCCACACUGGGACUGAGACACGGCCCAGACUCCUACGGGAGGCAGCAGUAGGGAAUCUUCGGCAAUGGACGGAAGUCUGACCGAGCAACGCCGCGUGAGUGAAGAAGGUUUUCGGAUCGUAAAGCUCUGUUGUAAGAGAAGAACGAGUGUGAGAGUGGAAAGUUCACACUGUGA
This 460-nucleotide ribosomal RNA is filed under the name Streptococcus mitis. Its description in RNAcentral is "bacterial SSU rRNA". It matches the Rfam family "Bacterial small subunit ribosomal RNA", at positions 28 to 472 of the family's 1533-position model. The record is from RNAcentral. Lineage: Bacteria; Bacillati; Bacillota; Bacilli; Lactobacillales; Streptococcaceae.